Molecule: ribosomal RNA, 253 nt
Filed under: uncultured bacterium
Lineage: Bacteria
Description: partial 16S ribosomal RNA
Rfam family: Bacterial small subunit ribosomal RNA
Source: RNAcentral
UACGUAGGGUGCAAGCGUUGUCCGGAAUUAUUGGGCGUAAAGAGCUCGUAGGCGGUCUGUCGCGUCUGCUGUGAAAACUCGGGGCUUAACCCCGGGCCUGCAGUGGGUACGGGCAGACUAGAGUGCGGUAGGGGAGACUGGAAUUCCUGGUGUAGCGGUGAAAUGCGCAGAUAUCAGGAGGAACACCGAUGGCGAAGGCAGCCCCCUGGGCCAUUACUGACGCUGAGGAGCGAAAGCGUGGGGAGCGAACAGG